This is a non-coding RNA of Pelobates cultripes (western spadefoot toad), 65 nucleotides long. Lineage: Eukaryota; Metazoa; Chordata; Amphibia; Anura; Pelobatidae. The record is from the annotation of a GenBank genome assembly.
UCUCUUCCUCAGGUCUGAAGCAAUACUGAAGUACUGGAGUAUUGCUUCAGACCUGAGGAAGAGAG